Molecule: ribosomal RNA, 497 nt
Filed under: Bacillus thuringiensis
Lineage: Bacteria; Bacillati; Bacillota; Bacilli; Caryophanales; Bacillaceae
Description: bacterial SSU rRNA
Rfam family: Bacterial small subunit ribosomal RNA
Source: RNAcentral
GGAUAGACUUGCUCUUAUGANUUAGCGGCGGACGGGUGAGUACACGUGGGUACCUGCCCAUAAGACUGGGAUAACUCCGGGAAACCGGGGCUAAUACCGGAUAACAUUUUGAACCGCAUGGUUCGAAAUUGAAAGGCGGCUUCGGCUGUCACUUAUGGAUGGACCCGCGUCGCAUUAGCUAGUUGGUGAGGUAACGGCUCACCAAGGCAACGAUGCGUAGCCGACCUGAGAGGGUGAUCGGCCACACUGGGACUGAGACACGGCCCAGACUCCUACGGGAGGCAGCAGUAGGGAAUCUUCCGCAAUGGACGAAAGUCUGACGGAGCAACGCCGCGUGAGUGAUGAAGGCUUUCGGGUCGUAAAACUCUGUUGUUAGGGAAGAACAAGUGCUAGUUGAAUAAGCUGGCACCUUGACGGUACCUAACCAGAAAGCCACGGCUAACUACGUGCCAGCAGCCGCGGUAAUACGUAGGUGGCAAGCGUUAUCCGNAUNUUGG